CAGCCGCCGCGGGAAUACGGAGGGUGCAAGCGUUAAUCGGAAUUACUGGGCGUAAAGCGCACGCAGGCGGUUUGUUAAGUCAGAUGUGAAAUCCCCGAGCUUAACUUGGGAACUGCAUUUGGAACUGGCAGGCUAGAGUCUCGUAGAGGGGGGUAGAAUUCCAGGUGUAGCGGUGAAAUGCGUAGAGAUCUGGAGGAAUACCGGUGGCGAAGGCGGCCCCCUGGACGAAGACUGACGCUCAGGUACGAAAGCGUGGGGAGCAAACAGGAUUAGAUACCCGUGUAGUCCCUGUCUCUUAUAC
RNAcentral lists this ribosomal RNA (301 nucleotides) under uncultured bacterium. RNAcentral's name for it is "partial 16S ribosomal RNA". It matches the Rfam family "Bacterial small subunit ribosomal RNA", at positions 509 to 807 of the family's 1533-position model. The record is from RNAcentral.